UGAGGAAUAUUGGUCAAUGGACGAGAGUCUGAACCAGCCAAGUAGCGUGCAGGAUGACGGCCCUAUGGGUUGUAAACUGCUUUUGUUUGGGAAUAAUCGACAUUACGUGUAAUGUUUUGCAUGUACCAUUCGAAUAAGGACCGGCUAAUUCCGUGCCAGCAGCCGCGGUAAUACGGAAGGUCCAGGCGUUAUCCGGAUUUAUUGGGUUUAAAGGGAGUGUAGGCGGUUGGUUAAGCGUGUUGUGAAAUGUAGAUGCUCAACAUCUGACUUGCAGCGCGAACUGGCUGACUUGAGUACGCACAACGUAGGCGGAAUUCAUGGUGUAGCGGUGAAAUGCUUAGAUAUCAUGAAGAACUCCGAUUGCGAAGGCAGCUUACGGGAGUGUUACUGACGCUUAAGCUCGAAGGUGCGGGUAUCGAACAGG
RNAcentral lists this ribosomal RNA (424 nucleotides) under Verrucomicrobiota bacterium. RNAcentral describes it as "Verrucomicrobia bacterium partial 16S ribosomal RNA". It matches the Rfam family "Bacterial small subunit ribosomal RNA", at positions 355 to 776 of the family's 1533-position model. Lineage: Bacteria; Pseudomonadati; Verrucomicrobiota. The record is from RNAcentral.